GGGUUAGUAGGUUGGUCAUGCCUCUGGUAUGUACUGAUCUCACUGAUUCCUCCUUCCUGAUGAGCCGUAAUGCCAUUAAUUUGGUGUUGCGGGGAAUUUGGACUUUUACCUUGAAAAAAUUAGAGUGUUUAAAGCAGGCACAUGCUUGAAUACAUUAGCAUGGAAUAAUAGAAUAGGACGUGCGGUUCUAUUUUGUUGGUUUCUAGAGUCGCCGUA
RNAcentral lists this ribosomal RNA (216 nucleotides) under Campeiostachys nutans. Its description in RNAcentral is "Elymus nutans partial small subunit ribosomal RNA". It matches the Rfam family "Eukaryotic small subunit ribosomal RNA", at positions 644 to 864 of the family's 1831-position model. The record is from RNAcentral. Lineage: Eukaryota; Viridiplantae; Streptophyta; Magnoliopsida; Poales; Poaceae.